RNAcentral lists this ribosomal RNA (400 nucleotides) under uncultured fungus. Its description in RNAcentral is "eukaryotic LSU rRNA". The stretch from base 4 to 157 matches the Rfam family "5.8S ribosomal RNA". Lineage: Eukaryota; Fungi. The record is from RNAcentral.
UAAAACUUUCAACAAUGGAUCUCUUGGCUCUGGCAUCGAUGAAGAACGCAGCGAAAUGCGAUAAGUAAUGUGAAUUGCAGAAUUCAGUGAAUCAUCGAAUCUUUGAACGCACAUUGCGCCCUCUGGUAUUCCGGAGGGCAUGCCUGUUUGAGUGUCAUUAACUUCUCACAAAACCUUCUGGUUUCUGUUGAUGUUGGGAGUUGCGUUUCCUUGUGAGACGCUCUCCUCAAAUGCAUUGGUGCGGCCUGCCGCCCGGUUACACAACGUUCUAGGUUCGUCCAACUCGUUGCUAAAUCGGUGCACCAUUUGGUGCUGCACCUAAAGCCCGCCUUGUGCCUUGUGCUCUUGGCUUAUCUUAUUUAUUGACCUCAGAUCAGGUAGGAAUACGCGCUGAACUUAA